Molecule: ribosomal RNA, 367 nt
Filed under: uncultured bacterium
Lineage: Bacteria
Description: partial 16S ribosomal RNA
Rfam family: Bacterial small subunit ribosomal RNA
Source: RNAcentral
CCUACGGGUGGCAGCAGUAGGGAAUAUUGCUCAAUGGGGGAAACCCUGAAGCAGCAACGCCGCGUGGAGGAUGAAGGUUUUCGGAUUUGAAACUCCUUUUGUUAGAGAAGAUAAGGACGGCAUGUAACGAAUAAUCACUGGCCAACACCGUGCAAGCAGCCGCGGUAAUACGGAGGGUGCAAGCGUUACUCGGAAUCACCGGGCGUAAAGGGGGCGUAGGCGGGAUAGCAAGUCAGAUGUGAAAUCCUAUGGCUUAACCGUAGAACUGCAUUUGAAACUGUUAGUCUAGAGUAUGGGAGAGGUAGGUGGAAUUCGUGGUGUAGGGGUAAAAUCCGUAGAGAUCAAGAGGAAUACUGAUUGCGAAGGC